RNAcentral lists this ribosomal RNA (427 nucleotides) under Bacillus sp. (in: firmicutes). RNAcentral describes it as "bacterial SSU rRNA". It matches the Rfam family "Bacterial small subunit ribosomal RNA", at positions 629 to 1053 of the family's 1533-position model. Lineage: Bacteria; Bacillati; Bacillota; Bacilli; Caryophanales; Bacillaceae. The record is from RNAcentral.
GAAACUGGGGAACUUGAGUGCAGAAGAGGAGAGUGGAAUUUCCACGUGUAGCGGUGAAAUGCGUAGAGAUGUGGAGGAACACCAGUGGCGAAGGCGACUCUCUGGUCUGUAACUGACGCUGAGGCGCGAAAGCGUGGGGAGCGAACAGGAUUAGAUACCCUGGUAGUCCACGCCGUAAACGAUGAGUGCUAAGUGUUAGAGGGUUUCCGCCCUUUAGUGCUGCAGCAAACGCAUUAAGCACUCCGCCUGGGGAGUACGGUCGCAAGACUGAAACUCAAAGGAAUUGACGGGGGCCCGCACAAGCGGUGGAGCAUGUGGUUUAAUUCGAAGCAACGCGAAGAACCUUACCAGGUCUUGACAUCCUCUGACAACCCUAGAGAUAGGGCUUCCCCUUCGGGGGCAGAGUGACAGGUGGUGCAUGGUUGUC